RNAcentral lists this ribosomal RNA (450 nucleotides) under uncultured bacterium. RNAcentral describes it as "partial 16S ribosomal RNA". It matches the Rfam family "Bacterial small subunit ribosomal RNA", at positions 354 to 796 of the family's 1533-position model. The record is from RNAcentral.
GUGGGGAAUAUUGGACAAUGGGCGAAAGCCUGAUCCAGCCAUGCCGCGUGUGUGAAGAAGGUCUUCGGAUUGUAAAGCACUUUAAGUUGGGAGGAAGGGCAUUAACCUAAUACGUUAGUGUUUUGACGUUACCGACAGAAUAAGCACCGGCUAACUUCGUGCCAGCAGCCGCGGUAAUACGAAGGGUGCAAGCGUUAAUCGGAAUUACUGGGCGUAAAGCGCGCGUAGGUGGUUCGUUAAGUUGGAUGUGAAAGCCCCGGGCUCAACCUGGGAACUGCAUCCAAAACUGCAUGACUAGAGUACGGUAGAGGGUAGUGGAAUUUCCUGUGUAGCGGUGAAAUGCGUAGAUAUAGGAAGGAACACCAGUGGCGAAGGCGACUACCUGGACUGAUACUGACACUGAGGUGCGAAAGCGUGGGGAGCAAACAGGAUUAGAAACCCUAGUAGUCC